This 73-nucleotide transfer RNA is filed under the name Fukomys damarensis (Damara mole-rat). It matches the Rfam family "tRNA". Rfam says of the family: Transfer RNA (tRNA) molecules are approximately 80 nucleotides in length. Their secondary structure includes four short double-helical elements and three loops (D, anti-codon, and T loops). Lineage: Eukaryota; Metazoa; Chordata; Mammalia; Rodentia; Bathyergidae. The record is from Rfam by way of RNAcentral.
GGGGAUGUAGCUCAGUGGUGAGGAACUUGUCUAGUGUGACAAGAGGCCCUAAGUUCGAUCCUUAGUAUAGCCA